Molecule: transfer RNA, 109 nt
Filed under: Nanobdellota archaeon
Lineage: Archaea; Nanobdellati; Nanobdellota
Description: tRNA-Ala
Source: RNAcentral
GGGCCUGUAGCGUAAUCCGGUAGCGCAUUCCCAUGGCAUGGGAGGAGUCCGGGUUCAAACCCACGACAUAGCUGUAUAGUGUAGUGGCUUGAAAGUCCCGGCAGGUCCA